CAUUUUGAGUGUAAGGAGUAUAUCAGUAAUGACGAUAGGGGAUAUGUAACAAUUGGAUUUGACGGUGUAACAAUUAUAUAACAUUUUGCUAGGAUGUUUAAUUUUAGACUAAGCUCAACAUAUUGAGCUCUAUUUAACUGCCACGUAAGACAAUUAAGAGCACAAAAAAUUGACACGUAGGAAGGGGCUAUUUUUAAUUAUUACAAACUUGAGGUUCUAACUUUUUAAAUGAUUCACAAUUAAUAUAUAGGGGAUUUGUAUGUAUAUAUUAUAUAU
This 276-nucleotide long non-coding RNA is filed under the name Brassica napus (rape). RNAcentral describes it as "long non-coding RNA (BNAP_LNC021280)". Lineage: Eukaryota; Viridiplantae; Streptophyta; Magnoliopsida; Brassicales; Brassicaceae. The record is from RNAcentral.